GAUGAACGCUGGCGGCGUGCCUAACACAUGCAAGUCGAGCGAUUUACUUCGGUAAAGAGCGGCGGACGGGUGAGUAACGCGUGGGUAACCUGCCCUGUACACACGGAUAACAUACCGAAAGGUAUGCUAAUACGAGAUAAUAUACUUUUAUCGCAUGGUAGAAGUAUCAAAGCUUUUGCGGUACAGGAUGGAACCGCGUCUGAUUAGCUAGUUGGUAAGGUAACGGCUUACCAAGGCGACGAUCAGUAGCCGACCUGAGAGGGUGAUCGGCCACAUUGGAACUGAGACACGGUCCAAACUCCUACGGGAGGCAGCAGUGGGGAAUAUUGCACAAUGGGCGAAAGCCUGAUGCAGCAACGCCGCGUGAGUGAUGAAGGCCUUCGGGUCGUAAAGCUCUGUCCUCAAGGAAGAUAAUGACGGUACUUGAGGAGGAAGCCCCGGCUAACUACGUGCCAGCAGCCGCAGUAA
This 468-nucleotide ribosomal RNA is filed under the name uncultured bacterium. RNAcentral's name for it is "partial 16S ribosomal RNA". It matches the Rfam family "Bacterial small subunit ribosomal RNA", at positions 28 to 523 of the family's 1533-position model. The record is from RNAcentral.